RNAcentral lists this ribosomal RNA (746 nucleotides) under Keithomyces carneus. Its description in RNAcentral is "partial large subunit ribosomal RNA". It matches the Rfam family "Eukaryotic large subunit ribosomal RNA", at positions 76 to 849 of the family's 3401-position model. Lineage: Eukaryota; Fungi; Ascomycota; Sordariomycetes; Hypocreales; Clavicipitaceae. The record is from RNAcentral.
UGCCCCAGUAACGGCGAGUGAAGCGGCAACAGCUCAAAUUUGAAAUCUGGCCCCCAGGGUCCGAGUUGUAAUUUGCAGAGGAUGCUUUUGGCAAGGUGCCUUCCGAGUUCCCUGGAACGGGACGCCAUAGAGGGUGAGAGCCCCGUCUGGUUGGAUACCGAGCCUCUGUAAAGCUCCUUCGACGAGUCGAGUAGUUUGGGAAUGCUGCUCUAAAUGGGAGGUAUAUGUCUUCUAAAGCUAAAUAUUGGCCAGAGACCGAUAGCGCACAAGUAGAGUGAUCGAAAGAUGAAAAGCACUUUGAAAAGAGGGUUAAAUAGUACGUGAAAUUGUUGAAAGGGAAGCGCUCAUGACCAGACUUGGGCCCGGUGAAUCAUCCAGCGCUCGUCGCUGGUGCACUUUGCCGGGCUCAGGCCAGCAUCAGUUCGCUCCGGGGGACAAAGGCUCUGGGAAUGUGGCUCCUCCGGGAGUGUUAUAGCCCACUGCGCAAUACCCUGGGGCGGACUGAGGUUCGCGCAUUCGUGCAAGGAUGCUGGCGUAAUGGUCAUCAGUGACCCGUCUUGAAACACGGACCAAGGAGUCGUCUUCGUAUGCAAGUGUUCGGGUGUAAAACCCCUACGCGUAAUGAAAGUGAACGCAGGUGAGAGCUUCGGCGCAUCAUCGACCGAUCCUGAUGUUCUCGGAUGGAUUUGAGUAAGAGCAUACGGGGCCGGACCCGAAAGAAGGUGAACUAUGCCUGUAUAGGGUGA